RNAcentral lists this ribosomal RNA (459 nucleotides) under uncultured bacterium. Its description in RNAcentral is "bacterial SSU rRNA". It matches the Rfam family "Bacterial small subunit ribosomal RNA", at positions 28 to 479 of the family's 1533-position model. The record is from RNAcentral.
GACGAACGCUGGCGGCGUGCCUAACACAUGCAAGUCGAACGGAGAGGCUAAGAACAAGACUUCGGUCAAGUGAUUAGUUUUCUUAGUGGCGGACGGGUGAGUAACGCGUGAGCAAUCUGCCUUUCAGAGGGGGAUAACGUUCUGAAAAGAACGCUAAUACCGCAUAACGUAUAUUGAUGGCAUCAUCGAGAUACCAAAGGAGCAAUCCGCUGAAAGAUGAGCUCGCGUCUGAUUAGAUAGUUGGUGGGGUAACGGCCUACCAAGUCGACGAUCAGUAGCCGGUCUGAGAGGAUGAACGGCCACAUUGGGACUGAGAUACGGCCCAGACUCCUACGGGAGGCAGCAGUGGGGAAUAUUGGGCAAUGGGGGAAACCCUGACCCAGCAACGCCGCGUGAAGGAAGAAGGCCUUCGGGUUGGUAAACUUCUUUUACCUAGGGACGAAGAACGUAGACGGUACC